CCUACGGGUGGCAGCAGUGAGGAAUAUUGGUCAAUGGACGCGAGUCUGAACCAGCCAUGCCGCGUGCAGGAAGACGGCUCUAUGAGUUGUAAACUGCUUUUGUACGAGGGUAAACGCAGAUACGCGUAUCUGUCUGAAAGUAUCGUACGAAUAAGGAUCGGCUAACUCCGUGCCAGCAGCCGCGGUAAUACGGAGGAUUCAAGCGUUAUCCGGAUUUAUUGGGUUUAAAGGGUGCGUAGGUGGUCGGUUAAGUUAGAGGUGAAAUCCUGAGGCUCAACUUCGGAAUUGCAUUUGAUACUGGCCGGCUAGAGAGUAGUUGAGGUAGGCGGAAUGCAUGGUGUAGCGGUGAAAUGCUUAGAGAUCAUACAGAACACCGAUUGCGAAGGCAGCUUACCAAGCUACCUCUGACGUUGAGGCACGAAAGUGUGGGGAGCAAACAGGAUUAGAUACCCGGGUAGUC
RNAcentral lists this ribosomal RNA (460 nucleotides) under uncultured bacterium. RNAcentral describes it as "partial 16S ribosomal RNA". It matches the Rfam family "Bacterial small subunit ribosomal RNA", at positions 338 to 795 of the family's 1533-position model. The record is from RNAcentral.